CAUGAAUAUAGACUUGAUGACAACAACACUAGCAAUUGCAUCUGUUGUGCGGAAGCGUCAACCAACUUUGAGUGAAAAAUAAAUAACAACAGGCAGGAGAAAAAUUGAACAAAAUAAUCAACAAGAACAACACCAAGAUUUAUACUGGUUCGGCAAUUGCCUACAUCCAGCUUGGAGACGAUGGAGUAUUCCACUAUAAUCAAU
This 204-nucleotide long non-coding RNA is filed under the name Prunus dulcis (almond). RNAcentral's name for it is "sRNA ncRNA". Lineage: Eukaryota; Viridiplantae; Streptophyta; Magnoliopsida; Rosales; Rosaceae. The record is from RNAcentral.